UUCACCCAUUUUGAACUCCUGACCGGCCGCCUGAUGCCUGGUCCAGCCUCGGCUUCGCUCCAGCUGGACAUGGAACCGCCGAAGGGCAAUAAGCCCUACUGGGAGCAACUGUCAUCUCGUGUCCUCGCUUUGUGUUUCAGAUCCCUCUGUUGCAGAUGUCCACGUCAGUGACUCUUCCCUUCCGACUCACGUGUAUUUGAAAGUGCUCCAAAGCAAGAGGUCUGAACCACAGUGGACUCGUCCAUUUGAGGUGUGAGCAGGUGAUUAUCCACUCGAAACUGGGAUACUGGGAACCGAUGAAUGGUAGGAAUUGGCAGUGGAAGGACAGGAUCAAACUGGAAAAAGGGUCGCGGGCGUGCUGGAGCCUAUCCCAGCUGUCAUCGGGCAGGAGGCGGGGUACACCCUGAACUGGUUGGCAGCCAAUCGCAGGGCACAUACAAACAAACGACCAUUCGCACUUGGGAUGUGGGAGGAAACCGGAGUGCCCGGAGAAAACCCACGCAGGCACGGGGAGAACAUGCAAACUCCACACAGGCGGGGCCGGGGAUUGAACCGGGGUCCUCAGAACUGUGAGGCUGACGCUCUAACCAGUCGUCCACCGUGCCGCCGCGACGGGAUAUGACCUGAAUAAUGACUUGGUCCAGGGGGUGGUAUACCGACGUAUGCUACAGGAGGCUAAGGGGCGAGCGGCAGGGAUUAAUACAGGAAAUCUUUGGUUUAAAGAAGUUAUUGUGGAAGGAAAAUUUUACUGCUGCUACUGAGUUUGAGUCGACCUGUACCUACCAGCUGAUGACUAAAGAAUAUUUGGAGGGUGAUUGCCAGCGCUGGGACCACGUGUAUCCUCUAACCAAGGAAAUCAACCACAUGGCGGAUUUCACCUGGGAGCGUGACUGGUGGGCUAUCUUAACCCGCUCCCGCCGUGUGGUCAGUGGCUUCAACGUGGGUGGAAACGCUUGGGAAGCAGGAGAAGACCCCACCUACCUGGACGCCAUUGGAGUUCCCAGAGGUGUCCCGGAUGAUUAUAAAGCUCGCUGUCAAACUUCCGCAGGUCUUGAGAGUAUUUUCAUAUGGGUAACCCCAAAUAAAAAUGUUGAUUUUAUUAAUUACCAUCAUUACCAAAAUCAAAGACUGGUGAAUUUCACCUCCCAAUUGGCAGAGGGUGUCCAUGAGCAACUAUCCGCUAACUCUCUCAUGGUAUUCCAAAAUAAGCUGGUCUUUGAUAACUGUUAGCGGAAGAAGGGGGUGCCUGCUCUCGCAUCAAGGGUCACUGUUGUAUGAUUAUCCCCAACAAUACGGCACCAAACGGAAAGCUCACCAGAGCCAUGAAAGGUUUGCAAGCCAUGUCUGUUAAACUUAAAUCAAUGUCUGGAGUGGAUGACAACCCAUUCCAUAGCCUGCUGAACAGGAUGUUUGGUAAAUGGAAAGGUCUCAUGCUGACUUUGGCUACUACCAUCCUGGUUGUCAUUGCUGUGCUUGCUUUGUGUGGAUGUUGUAUCAUCCUCCUGAGACAAGGAUGACACCUUGUCUCAGGAGUCUUAUCCUCCGGAUUGUCCACAAGGCCUUUGAGGGGAAGGACCCCCACGGCCAAUAUCAGCUGCUGCCCCUGAAAGAGGACGUGGAGACCAUUAGCGCGCUUGCGCCGUUGAACUUCGCGCCUGUAUGCUCUCCUUAAGUUUUUGGAUAUUUGCUAUAUUUUGUUUGGGCUAUAUUAAGUAUUAGCACGGACUUGGGUCCAUAUUUAGACGGUGUUGAUCUCUGAUUAGCAGAGAUUAAAUGGGGGAUUCGUGGGAUAUGGUUUUGCCCAUUAAUUGGUUUGUGCUUGAACAGUGGUGCUUUGUUGCAGUGAAGAUAAAAUGAAGUGAAGAUAAGGGUGUGAGGGUGAGCUGCUUGAAAGUUCCCAGUAGGGUGCAUGUGGAGGACACAGGAAACAUCUGCCGGAGAUAACCGUGGAUACAAAGCGUUGCUGCAAACCUUAUGAGGAAGUGAGAAGUGUUGAGACAGCAUCUUGCACCAGCGCCAAACGGCCAUCAUUCUGCAUAGCAACGAUGACGUCAAUCGACCCUGGACCAACCGGACGAAGACAACUCCACACUUCCUCUUUGAAUUUUUUUUAUCAGACUGGGUCAGGAACAGAUAGUUUUGUUCGGACUACACUAUCUCUGCUAAGGCUAAGAUAAGGGUAGCUGCUGAACCAGAGC
Molecule: long non-coding RNA, 2198 nt
Organism: Phyllopteryx taeniolatus (common seadragon)
Lineage: Eukaryota; Metazoa; Chordata; Actinopteri; Syngnathiformes; Syngnathidae
Exons: 5
Source: RefSeq, a predicted model, not a curated record